This 2133-nucleotide ribosomal RNA is filed under the name Triticum aestivum (bread wheat). RNAcentral's name for it is "partial small subunit ribosomal RNA". Lineage: Eukaryota; Viridiplantae; Streptophyta; Magnoliopsida; Poales; Poaceae. The record is from RNAcentral.
AUGAUGGAGGGCAGGAAAGAGAGGGGGAGAUCUCAUAGAGUGUUUCGGCGGAUGGCGAUGCAGUGCCUCUGCUCCGGGGAGCAGGCCAAUCUGGUGGAUGAGCUGAACCCGUCAAAUGGUGAAAUCGAGUUGUAUGCCAAAAAUGACGGCCUUCGGGAAGCCGAGUUGUCUCUCCAGGAGGGCGGUUCCCUUAACUAUGAGGAAGCAAGGGCAUUGCUUGCAAAAGUCGAGUACCAACAGGGGCAUGUUGAAGAAGCACUUCGUGUGCUUGAUGGGAUAAACACGGCUGAACUAAUUCCUAUGGUGAAAAUGUCCAUCAGUAGAUUAGCAAGGGCCGAUCCACAUUCCAGUUAUCCACCAAUGUCCUUGCAUACUGUUAAUCUAGUAACGGAGACCAUAUAUCUCAAAACUAUAGCACUUCGUGACCUUGGGAAAUUCAAAGAAGCUGCACAGGAGUGCAGUAUGAUAUUGGACGUUAUAGAAUCGGCACUCCCUAAGGGCUUACCAACCAAGUUUGGAGAUGGUAGUAACUUGAAUGCAACAAUACGCAGUGCCGUUGAGUUGCUUCCUGAGCUAUGGAAAUUAGCGGAUUUCCCUCCUGAAGUGCUCUCUUCAUACAGGAGGGCUCUUCUUAGUAAUUGGAACCUCGAUGCAAAGGCCAUUGGUAGAAUACAGAAGGAGUUUGCUAUUUUUCUCCUAUACAGUGGCUGUGAGGCCUCAACUCCACCUCUUCGAUCCCAAUUGGAUGGUUCAUUUGUACCUCGGAAUAAUUUGGAAGAAGCUAUUCUUCUUUUGAUGAUUUUAUUGAUGAAAUUCAACCUUAAGAGGCUUGAGAGAGACCCAACUGUGAUGCAUCAUCUGACUUUUGCAUUGUCCAUGUCAGGACGGUUAAAACCUCUAGCCGGUCAGUUUGAAAAACUAUUACCUGGUGUGUUACACAGCAGAGAGUGGCUGUACAAUGUUGCACUGUGUUACCUAGCAGAAGAAGAUGAUCUAGCUGCCCUCAAUCUGCUCAAAAUGAUACUAAGAUUUGGAGAGCACUCCAGUUGUCUCAAAGAACUUCUUCUAACUUCAAAAAUUUGUAGCGAGAACGUUGCACAUGCUGAAGAAGGUGCAUCCUAUGCACGCAGAGCCCUUGCUAGUCUCGAUGGAGGUUGUGACCAGUUAGAGGUUGUCGCGGACCUUCUACUUGGCAUUUCCCUCUCCCGCCAAGCUCGAUAUGCUCCGAGUGGUACGGAGAGGGCUUCUCAGCAGCGUGAAGCACUGAAGGUGCUUGGUGUUGCUGAAAAGAAGAUGGAAGGCAAAGAUUUUAGGGUACUGUACAAUCUGAGCCUUGAAAAUGCUGAGCAGAGGAAACUAGAUGCAGCAGCUCUUUAUGCAAAGAAGUUACUGAAAUUGGAGAAUGGUUCAGAAUUAAGGAGCUGGCUCCUUGUAGCUCGUAUCACGAGUGCUCAAAAACGGUUCGAAGAUGCUGAAUCUAUUGUAAAUGCUGCCCUUGAUCAGACUGCAAAGUGGUGCCAAGGAGAUCUGUUGCAAACCAAAGCCAAAAUUCAGGCUGCAAACGGGCAAUUUAAGAAGGCAGUCGAGACUUAUACCCAGCUUCUUGCUGUCAUCCAACUCAGGAAGAAAAGUUUCAACUCUGGGCUUUUUGUAUUACAGGGCACGAAGGAUGAUGGAAGCAUGGAAACAGAGGCAUGGUAUAAUCUGGCCCUUUUGUACCUAAGCCUGUCACAAUGGAGGGAUACAGAGCUUUGCAUAUCGAAAAUAAAAGCCACCAGUGCAUAUUCUCCCUUGGCUUAUCAUGCUACAGGAAAGCUACUUGAAGCAAGAGGGUUUCUAAAGGAGGCUUUUGGAGCAUACUCCAAAGCAUUAGAUCUCGACCCUAAGCACGUACCGAGUUUGAUAUCUGCCGCCAUUGCUCUUCGACAGCUUGGAGGGAGGCCCUUGCCUGCCGCAAGGUGCCUCCUAACUGAUGCGCUGAGACUGGACAGAACGAACCAUGUUGCAUGGUUUAACCUCGGUCUAACCUAUGAAGAUGAAGGGGGCAGUUCAUCAGCGGCACUUGAAGCUGCCGAAUGUUUUCAGGCGGCUGCCCUUCUCGAAGAAACCGCCCCGGCUGAACCUUUCAGAUAA